Molecule: ribosomal RNA, 460 nt
Filed under: Achromobacter sp.
Lineage: Bacteria; Pseudomonadati; Pseudomonadota; Betaproteobacteria; Burkholderiales; Alcaligenaceae
Description: bacterial SSU rRNA
Rfam family: Bacterial small subunit ribosomal RNA
Source: RNAcentral
AUGGCUCAGAUUGAACGCUAGCGGGAUGCCUUACACAUGCAAGUCGAACGGCAGCACGGACUUCGGUCUGGUGGCGAGUGGCGAACGGGUGAGUAAUGUAUCGGAACGUGCCUAGUAGCGGGGGAUAACUACGCGAAAGCGUAGCUAAUACCGCAUACGCCCUACGGGGGAAAGCAGGGGAUCGCAAGACCUUGCACUAUUAGAGCGGCCGAUAUCGGAUUAGCUAGUUGGUGGGGUAACGGCUCACCAAGGCGACGAUCCGUAGCUGGUUUGAGAGGACGACCAGCCACACUGGGACUGAGACACGGCCCAGACUCCUACGGGAGGCAGCAGUGGGGAAUUUUGGACAAUGGGGGAAACCCUGAUCCAGCCAUCCCGCGUGUGCGAUGAAGGCCUUCGGGUUGUAAAGCACUUUUGGCAGGAAAGAAACGUCAUGGGUUAAUACCCCGUGAAACUGACG